UGGGCAACCUGCCCUCAGCUCUGGGAUAACUCCGGGAAACCGGGGCUAAUACCGGAUACGACCUUCCCUGGCAUCGGGGUUGGUGGAAAGUUCUUCGGCUGAGGAUGGGCCCGCGGCCUAUCAGCUUGUUGGUGGGGUGAUGGCCUACCAAGGCGACGACGGGUAGCCGGCCUGAGAGGGCGACCGGCCACACGUGGGACUGAGACACGGCCCAGACCUCCGUACGGGGAG
RNAcentral lists this ribosomal RNA (231 nucleotides) under uncultured bacterium. RNAcentral describes it as "partial 16S ribosomal RNA". It matches the Rfam family "Bacterial small subunit ribosomal RNA", at positions 118 to 347 of the family's 1533-position model. The record is from RNAcentral.